Cyprinus carpio (common carp) is the source of this 382-nucleotide long non-coding RNA. RefSeq lists it as uncharacterized. The transcript has 5 exons. The record is from RefSeq and is a predicted model, not a curated record. Lineage: Eukaryota; Metazoa; Chordata; Actinopteri; Cypriniformes; Cyprinidae.
CGCGCGCGUUGAACAUUCGAAGUGCAUUUAAACUGUGGAGGGAGUUACCAUGGAAACGGGGCGGCAACUCAGCUGACAAGUAGCAAAUCUCUCCGUCUCUCACUGUUGUUUUUACUGCUUUCAGAAAUGGUUCAGUGUCAUGGGAAUAAGUCCGUUAGCAUCACAACCGUGAGCUAACAGAGGCUAACUAUGAGAGCAGAGUUGGAGUGGACCUCUUGUUGAAGAACUUCUCCAGGCACCAUGAACCAUCUGACUAGCCAUCCUGUUUAACACUGCACUGAGGACACUACAACCAGAGAGAUGCUGUCAUGAAAUGCCAUGAAAAGGCAACUGCUGGACACCUGGGACAGGCCAUCAAUUCCAAGUUGGCAGAACUGAGGUU